GUUCCCCAGGCUUCAGAUGCUUGCUACCCAGGUCCUGAUUCCUGCAUCUCUACUUAGAGAGAUGAAGGCCAUUCCUCCCCUCUCCCCACCGGGAGCCAUCCAGGCCCAGGUGCUGCCCAACAGGACUGGGCUCGUGAUGGUGAUUACCUUAUCUUUACCAUGGCAAGACCUAUACAAAGAGGCAUGUAUGGAGUGACAAAAGCAUUGCGCUUGGAAGCAGAUCAUUUUACAGAUGAGGAAAUGGAGGUGACUUGUCCAGGGUCACAUAGCUACUUAGUGUCUGAAGAUGGAUUUGAACUCAAGAAGAGAAGGCUUUCCGACUCCAAACUCAGCCUUCUAGCCACUGCACCACCACUGGACCAGCCAUCCAGCUGCCCAACCUGAAAUAUAGUAGGUACUGGGUUGCUGCCUGAGGCAUGGAGAGCCUACAUGAUUUGUCAAGGGUCACAAAGUUAAUAGGGCAACUACAUGGUGAAGAGAAUAGAGUGCUGGGUCUGGAGUCAGGAAUACUCUGAGUUCAAAUCCAGCUCAGACACUUACUUGACGUGUGACCUUGGGUAAGUCACUCAACCCUGUUUGCCUCAGUUUCCCAUCUGGAAAA
Dromiciops gliroides (monito del monte) is the source of this 601-nucleotide long non-coding RNA. RefSeq lists it as uncharacterized. The transcript has 4 exons. NCBI's taxonomy places the organism in Eukaryota, Metazoa, Chordata, Mammalia, Microbiotheria, Microbiotheriidae. The record is from RefSeq and is a predicted model, not a curated record.